This 509-nucleotide ribosomal RNA is filed under the name uncultured bacterium. Its description in RNAcentral is "partial 16S ribosomal RNA". It matches the Rfam family "Bacterial small subunit ribosomal RNA", at positions 30 to 523 of the family's 1533-position model. The record is from RNAcentral.
AUUGAACGCUGGCGGCAUGCCUAACACAUGCAAGUCGAACGGCAGCACAAUAUGUAGCAAUACAUAUGGGUGGCGAGUGGCGGACGGGUGCGUAAUGUGUAGGGAUCUGCCCUGAAGUGGGGGACAACCCGGGGAAACUCGGGCUAAUACCGCAUAAUACUCUACGGAGGAAAUCUGGCUACGCAAGUAGCUGGGGCUUUAGGAUGAACCUACAUCCGAUUAGCUAGUUGGUGAGGUAAUGGCUCACCAAGUCGAUGAUAGGUAGCUGGUCUGGGAGGAUGACCAGCCACACUGGGACUGAGACAAGGCCCAGAAUCCUACGGGAGGCAGCAGUGGGGAAUAUUGGACAAUGGGGGAAACCCUGAUCCAGCAAUGCCGCGUGGGUGAAGAAGGCCGUCGGGUUGUAAAGCCCUUUAGGCGGGGAAGAAGGUUUUAGGGUGAUAAGCCUUAAAAUUUGACGGUACCCGCAGAAUAAGCACCGGCUAACUCUGUGCCAGCCGCCGCAGUAA